This 747-nucleotide ribosomal RNA is filed under the name uncultured prokaryote. RNAcentral describes it as "bacterial SSU rRNA". It matches the Rfam family "Bacterial small subunit ribosomal RNA", at positions 721 to 1482 of the family's 1533-position model. The record is from RNAcentral.
GCAGCUUGCUGGACUGUAACUGACGCUGAGGCACGAAAGCGUNGGGAUCAAACAGGAUUAGAUACCCUGGUANNCCACGCCGUAAACGAUGAAUGCUAGCUGUUAGCGAUAUACUGUUAGCGGCACAGAGAAAUCGUUAAGCAUUCCACCUGGGGAGUACGCCGGCAACGGUGAAACUCAAAGGAAUUGACGGGGGCCCGCACAAGCGGAGGAACAUGUGGUUUAAUUCGAUGAUACGCGAGGAACCUUACCUGGGCUUAAAUUGCAGUGGAAUAACGUGGAAACAUGUUAGCCUUCGGGCCGCUGUGAAGGUGCUGCAUGGUUGUCGUCAGCUCGUGCCGUGAGGUGUCGGCUUAAGUGCCAUAACGAGCGCAACCCUCAUCGAUAGUUACUAACAGGUUAAGCUGAGGACUCUAUCGAGACUGCCGACGUAAGUCGUGAGGAAGGUGGGGAUGACGUCAAAUCAGCACGGCCCUUACGUCCAGGGCUACACACGUGUUACAAUGGGGGGUACAAAGGGCAGCUACCUGGCGACAGGAUGCUAAUCUCAAAAACCUCUCUCAGUUCGGAUUGGAGUCUGCAACCCGACUCCAUGAAGCUGGAUUCGCUAGUAAUCGCGCAUCAGCCACGGCGCGGUGAAUACGUUCCCGGGCCUUGUACACACCGCCCGUCAAGCCAUGGGAGCCGGGGGGACCUGAAGUAUGCAACCGUAAGGAGCGUCCUAGGGUAAAACUGGUGACUGGGGCU